GCUAAUUAAGUGUUAUUCCCUGCACAUUGAUCUUUCACGUCAAAAGAACACAAAGUGUACUUAGCU
This 66-nucleotide transfer RNA is filed under the name Lamellidens marginalis. RNAcentral describes it as "tRNA-Glu". The record is from RNAcentral. Lineage: Eukaryota; Metazoa; Mollusca; Bivalvia; Unionida; Unionidae.